GACGAACGCUGGCGGCGUGCUUAACACAUGCAAGUCGAACGGAAAGGCCCUGCUUUUGUGGGGUGCUCGAGUGGCGAACGGGUGAGUAACACGUGAGUAACCUGCCCUUGACUUUGGGAUAACUUCAGGAAACUGGGGCUAAUACCGGAUAGGAGCUCCUGCUGCAUGGUGGGGGUUGGAAAGUUUCGGCGGUUGGGGAUGGACUCGCGGCUUAUCAGCUUGUUGGUGGGGUAGUGGCUUACCAAGGCUUUGACGGGUAGCCGGCCUGAGAGGGUGACCGGCCACAUUGGGACUGAGAUACGGCCCAGACUCCUACGGGAGGCAGCAGUGGGGAAUAUUGCACAAUGGGCGGAAGCCUGAUGCAGCAACGCCGCGUGCGGGAUGACGGCCUUCGGGUUGUAAACCGCUUUCGCCUGUGACGAAGCGUGAGUGACGGUAAUGGGUAAAGAAGCACCGGCUUACUACGUG
Molecule: ribosomal RNA, 468 nt
Filed under: uncultured bacterium
Lineage: Bacteria
Description: partial 16S ribosomal RNA
Rfam family: Bacterial small subunit ribosomal RNA
Source: RNAcentral